UACAGAGGGGGCGAGCGUUAUUCGGAAUCAUUGGGCGUAAAGGGCGCGUAGGCGGCCGAGCAAGUCUUGGGUGAAAUCCCUCGGCUUAACCGAGGAACUGCCCUGGAAACUGCUCGGCUUGAGGCCGGGAGAGGGUGGUGGAAUUCCCAGUGUAGCGGUGAAAUGCGUAGAUACUGGGAGGAACACCAGUGGCGAAGGCGGCCACCUGGACCGGUCCUGACGCUGAGGCGCGAAAGCGUGGGGAGCGAACGGG
RNAcentral lists this ribosomal RNA (253 nucleotides) under uncultured bacterium. Its description in RNAcentral is "partial 16S ribosomal RNA". It matches the Rfam family "Bacterial small subunit ribosomal RNA", at positions 524 to 776 of the family's 1533-position model. The record is from RNAcentral.